This 253-nucleotide ribosomal RNA is filed under the name uncultured bacterium. RNAcentral's name for it is "partial 16S ribosomal RNA". It matches the Rfam family "Bacterial small subunit ribosomal RNA", at positions 524 to 776 of the family's 1533-position model. The record is from RNAcentral.
UACGAACUGUGCAAACGUUGUUCGGAAUCACUGGGCUUAAAGGGUGCGUAGGCGGGCCAGUUAGUCAGGGGUGAAAUCCCACGGCCCAACCGUGGAAGUGCCUCUGAUACUGCGGGCCUAGAGGGGAACAGGGGCAUGCGGAACUUCCGGUGGAGCGGUGAAAUGCGUAGAUAUCGGAAGGAACACCGGUGGCGAAAGCGGCGUGCUGGAUUCCUACUGACGCUGAGGCACGAAAGCCAGGGGAGCAAACGGG